RNAcentral lists this long non-coding RNA (729 nucleotides) under Chinchilla lanigera (long-tailed chinchilla). RNAcentral describes it as "lncRNA (ENSCLAG00000022540.1)". Lineage: Eukaryota; Metazoa; Chordata; Mammalia; Rodentia; Chinchillidae. The record is from RNAcentral.
UGACACUACUGACAAUCAGGAAAUGGCAGUUUUAGUACAGCUCGUUAGGUAAUAGGGAAGACGCUGGUUCUCCCCAGUCAGCGAGUAUCUCCGAAGGCACCAGGGGCCAGCCAGGGAAGCUCUGCCCAAGGUGGAGGGGUGUGGCUGUGUGUGUGUGGUGACACACGGUGAACACCCAAGCUAUGCUGCGCCCGGCCAGUUGUGUAACGCUGGGUGAGUCAAAGAGCGUGCUUCCCAGAACGUCAGCGGCUCGUUUCCUCCCAGGAACUGGCACCAGUAUGUCACCGGCUCCAGUCAGCACCGUCCCACAAGUCUGCUUGACUCUGGCAUUGGUACUGAAACUAAUCACACUGCUCACCCAUCGUCCCGGGACAGUAGGGGAUCAGCUCUCCUCCUAUCUGCAGCUCUCCAGGAAGAAUCAAGGAGUCAUCAACCCCAGCUCAAAAUCUUGGUUAAGCAUCUUAAUACUUGGAGAACUACAAACAGAGUUAAUCCCUGAGUCUCCAUUUUUUAAAAUUUUCUUUUUUAUUUUAAAGAGAAUAAAAUAAGAAAAUAAAAUAACAACAUAGGCAAAAACAAAACAAAGCAGAAACAAAAAAAAUGACUCAGUGUUUCAACACAAAAUGAUAGGAAUUAACGGUGGUUGUUAUGUUACAUAUUGUCAUCUUUCAACGAAGUUGCUCAGAUUGCCAGAUGUAAGAAUGCAAGAUUGAUCAAGCCAUUAAAGAG